Molecule: long non-coding RNA, 4713 nt
Organism: Cavia porcellus (domestic guinea pig)
Lineage: Eukaryota; Metazoa; Chordata; Mammalia; Rodentia; Caviidae
Exons: 2
Source: RefSeq, a predicted model, not a curated record
AACAAUAACUGAAUGUUAUCUUUUAAGCUAGUAUUUCUUCUUUUUCUCUUUUAGGAAUUUAUGCCCUGUAUUACUUCCAAGAAUUUUUCUCUGCUACUUUUAAAAUGAGACUUCACGUUUCUGAGGACAGAUCCUCAUCUCCAGUGGCUGAGAGGGUACCUUUCAGUAAGGUUAUGGAGCUUAAUCCUAACAGCGCCAAAGGUCAGUUUCUUGGCCACCUAUAAAGUCGGGGCAGAAGAUCUCACGUCAAGUCUGAUUUUACAAGACAUGGUGUAAAGAAUUAGCUAUUAUCCCAGACCAUACCAAUUGUCAAAUUCUUGAUCUGAAGGUCAAAUUUUCACUAAAGUAGAAGCCAAAGUGAAAACAUCAAGUUGUAAAACUUUUGGGGCCACUUAAGUGAUUAUUUGGAUUUUGAGGACAGAUUUUACUGUAUGGAUCUCCUGUGCUCAUUUUAUUUUUCUAAUUUAAUUUCUGGGUGAGAUAAAUUAAUGGUGUUGAAAGGGGAAAAAAAGCACUGAGAAACAGGAACAGUGGAAGAGGGUGAAAAGCAGUGUCAGUGGAAAACCAGCACGGAGGAAAGCGUGUUGGUGGAGAUGCCUGCAGCCCAGCACUGCUGGCUGGUGAACGUCCGGCACUGUGAUGCAGGCCAAGCUUUCUUUUUCUUUUCCUGUGAGCAGCAGCUGGACAGAAAGCUUCCUGAGUGACAUCCUCUGGACCUCGCGAUCCUUCACCCCCCAUUCAUGGAAAAAGCUUGGAUAACAGAAAGGAGCGUGGUGUGAUCUCAUGUCCAAGAACAGAGGCUGAUCUUUGCAUGCUUAAGUGCCACUCGCUCCACGAUGGCAAAGGAGUUUUCACAGUCGAUGUCUACCAACCUGUAUGUUCUGUCGCUUAAAAUGACUCACAGGAGGAAAGAAUAUACACAACAGAGUUAUUGACCUGCGCCCAGCACUUACUACACUAUAAGGAGAGCGUAUCUCUUAUGGGAAUUAUGGUGACAAGACAAAGCUCAUCAAGCCAGUGUAGACCCUAUGAUUUACAUCAGCUACUGGCUCGUUACCCAACAGUGCUUCAUAUUCCUACAGAACAGUAGUGUUUCUACAAAGUAGAGAAGGGUUUUGCUCAAUUAAUAGUUUCUUUUCACUACCAUCCUGAGGUACAGAAAAAGAAGAUAUCAGUGCUCCAUGACUUGCAUGAAGCAUACUGCAAGAACAGAGGCACUCCAGGAAGGUGGGAAACCAGCAACCGCCCUCCCACCCCGCAGGAGGCCGAAGCGUUCAGAGGAGCCACAGGGCACAAGGGCAAUGCCAAGGGCCCAGGGGAAAAUUUCGUGUAGAGGAAAUAUAACCUUAAAACAUGAGGAUGAUAGUGAGUCAUAGCAUCAUUCAUAUUAUAUACAGCUUUGGAGGGAAAAAAUGGGUUCCUUCGUGCCCCUGCUCGGCUCUCUCAUCCAGAAGCUGUUUGAGCUCAGGAGCUGCAAACCUCCGAGUCUCCCCAUGGCUGAGCAAGUGCCAGCAGAGGCUGACAUUCACCCCAAGCGCUUGUGGCAGAUGCUCAGAAGCUCGGUCCCAGCCUUCCAAGCGCCUGGCUGUUAAGACCCUUCUUGCUGAUUUAUAAUGACACGAAGUUCUUUUUAAUUAAUCCUGAAUAUCACUCUUAAGUUCAUUACAAAAAAUUUAUGAUCUCUUAAUCAUUAUUUUAAAAAAGUUGUCAUUUUUAAUGUGUGGAAGUUACUAAGGCACCACCGUGCGUUAACCCUGGAAUAUGAAAUCCCAGAUGAGUUUGUGGAGGUAUCCUGGCUUGCCAGCAGAUGAUAAGUCAGUGCCUUUGACUGCGUAGCAAAUGGGUGUCAUUUGGGCACUUUCUGUUGGAGAAGCCAAAGGCUAAAAAUAUAUGAAAAGGACAUAUCUGAAAUUUCUUGAUACCACCCUGGAAAACUCAAACCAAAAUCUCUGGACUGUUCACCUGGAGGACAUAGUUUGCAUGUUUAUUAGUUAUACCAAAUGUGCUUACAAAAUAUUAUAUAUAAUGCCGUAAGAUCUCUGCAAACUCAAAACAGUGGUGCAUUGGUUCAUAAACACAAGUCUUUACAAGAUUCUGGUUGCAACUGAAUUGCAAGCAUAUAUACACUGCAAUUUAAUACUUCUAAAAUUAUUUAACAUAUCCCAAGCAGAAAUUUCAUAAAACAACGUAUAGAACUCUCACUCUGAAAGCAGGAAUGUUAAUUUCAGAUUGGAUCAAUGCACAGCAAGAUUGACUUGAAACUGUAAGAUUAGAACAAUGUCAGGAAACAUUGUAUUAUGUUACUGUAUCACAUAGUUCUGGAGUAUGCAUUUAUAUUUUAAAUAAGGAGCUGAUUUUAAAGGAGUAACUACAGAAAGUCUUGUAAGUUGCUGUGUGAAAAUUGUACACAAUUUUUAAACAUGUUCUUUUAGGUGGUUCAAAACAUUUAAAACAAAGUUUUAGAACUAAGCUUUAAACAAUUAUUUCAAAAGAUACAUAGAAAUUGUAUGAGGACAGUAUAUGCCUUGAUCAAAACAUUUUAGAAAUGGUUUUCCCUCUUGAGGAAGAGUUACUGACAGGAAGUGGAACCACAAAUAUUUUAGAGGGAUUAUUACAAUGGCAGAAUCCCCAAAACAGCUGCCUGUUUGAUUUCUAGGAAUGUUAAGACUAGUUCUGCUCAAGAUUUGGUAGGAUCUUAUGAAUAAAAUUAGAAUAUGAAGGUAAAGAGACAGUCUAGAGUUUAUAAAAUUUUCAUAACUUUCAGUGAAGUGGCGUUUACAGUUCCUUAAGGAGUACAGUAGGCUGAGUAGUGGGAAUAUACAGUCUAAGUAGCAAUGGGAAACCUUAAAUACCUGUGCUUGAUUUUUAAUUAAAAAUUAAUUGGUUGACAUGGCUGGAGAAGAUUGAAAGAAUAUCAUUUUCAUUUCCCCCACAUCUCCUUCUAACUUGGGAGACUCACGAUUACCAAUCUACAAAGCCAAGACUGUCCGUGCAGUAUUUACCUUGAUCCCCGGAAGUCCAGGAAGCCCAGGAAGCCCUGGUUCACCCUACACAGGAAAAUCACACGGCAUUAUAGAAGGAUACCCACUCAGUCACAAUCUCUGGCGAAAAACAUGGCAAAGCUUCCUAGCUGAAUUCUUUCUGCAUGUAUAAAUACAUUAAAAAACUGCAUUGCUUGCAGCAGUUGAAUGAAAUCAUGAAAUUCAGUCAACUCUUGAUUCAGGGUUGGGUUGACUACUUUGCAGAUCUUUCAGGAUUUUUCCUUGGCACAUCUAUCACAGCGUAUGAAAGAGAAGUGAAAGGAGAAACAAUGUCUCUACUGUACUCUCCUUCGCUAAAUGAUUCACAGGAGCUGUUUGCAGAAAGGAGGGGUCUUCAUGCCCUUCUCCACGCUGCUCUCACCUCAGAGAAUCAAGAGUUGGCUGCAUGAACAGAUGGUCACGUCCAAACACUAUACAUUAAAGUACUGCUCACUUAAAAGGCUAGUGAGAUUUCCUUUCCAUUCCUGAAUGAUGAGAAGAUAAGUAAAUGGUGAAGAUUAGACUUAACUCCCAGCCUGUAUUUCUGACAAUUGUUGAGUUGGGGCAAAGUGCUUAGCAGCUCAGGGCUAAUGGUACCAUGCAGCUGUUCCCAAAUACAGGUCUGAGAUUACGUGCUGCAUACUGGGGCGCACAGUGGAAUCAGGCGAACCCUUCUCAUUUUCACAGAAUCGUCUACAUUAUUUUAAGCACAAAGUGUAGGGAUGAGAGGUUACAUUGCUCAGAAAAUCUCCCGAAUUCCACUGAAGAAGCACAAAGGAAUUACAGGACAAAUGAAAGUCGGUUUUGGGCUGGUCGAUGCUAUAUUUGUGGAAAUAAUGCUUUAAAGGUAAUCGAAUCACAUCAUUUUGCUAAUGGUAAGUGAGUGGGUGGCAGCCACACUGGAGACAGGAGAGCAGAAGAUGGCUCUUGCUGCUUUAGAGGGAAAUCUAAGAACAAACUGGUUUUCCAUCUUUAACAUUACUUCCAAAUGACGGAGAGCUACAACUCCCUCUGAUAUUAUCACAAAAUGACUUAGUUUAUUGAACCCUAUGAUUAGACAAACGGGAGCAAUGGGCUUCUUGAUGGUUUAGAAUUCAGAAAGAUUCUUCAGGAAUGCAAAAGAAAAACUAUUCUGUCCAAACUGUAAGUGAAAGUUUGCACUGGGAAUAAGAAUAUAAUGGGGUCAAGCUAGAGAAGAAAGAAAAAUUGUUAAGAAUUUAUAUUGCAUUGAAAGACUACUUGUAAUUAAACUUACAGAAUUACAGUAUUACAGAUUUGAUUUUCUUUUUUCUUUUCCAUUCACCAUUUACUUCAUAAACUUAAGGGAAUCCAGUAGAAAGAUUUUCAAAAAUAUUACAUUAAAAGGUCUCUAUUUCUUUAAAAAACUACAAAGUCGUUGGAAACAACAAAUUGCAGUGGAUUACACAACAAAUAAAAUUGUGCACUGUUUUAGAAAAAUCUCCCGACAAUCACUUCAGAGACAUGCAAACAUAUGUAGAAACAAUAUCAUUCAUAACACUAUUUUCCAGUAAGAAUUCUCAUCACUUCCUUCCCUCCUAGCCAGAUUAAAAGAAUUGCUUAAAGAAAGACUGCAUGGGCAUGUGUAUCAUGGGUACUUACUCUGUAUUCUGACAAUGAGAAAGAUGUGUAAGACAGGAUGGAAUGUUUUACAAUAUAAGCUAAGUACAAAGAC